Molecule: ribosomal RNA, 590 nt
Filed under: uncultured beta proteobacterium
Lineage: Bacteria; Pseudomonadati; Pseudomonadota; Betaproteobacteria
Description: bacterial SSU rRNA
Rfam family: Bacterial small subunit ribosomal RNA
Source: RNAcentral
AGAGUUUGAUCAUGGCUCAAAUUGAACGCUGGCGGAAUGCUUUACACAUGCAAGUCGAACGGCAGCACGGAGAGCUUGCUCUCUGGUGGCGAGUGGCGAACGGGUGAGUAAUAUAUCGGAACGUGUCCAAUAAUGGGGGAUAACGAGUCGAAAGAUUCGCUAAUACCGCAUACGCCCUACGGGGGAAAGCAGGGGAUCGUAAGACCUUGCGUUAAUGGAGCGGCCGAUAUCUGAUUAGCUUGUUGGUGAGGUAAAGGCUCACCAAGGCGACGAUCAGUAGCUGGUUUGAGAGAACGACCAGCCACACUGGAACUGAGACACGGUCCAGACUCCUACGGGAGGCAGCAGUGGGGAAUUUUGGACAAUGGGGGCAACCCUGAUCCAGCCAUUCCGCGUGAGUGAAGAAGGCCUUCGGGUUGUAAAGCUCUUUCGCAAANGAAGAAAACUUAUGAUCGAAUAAAUCAUGAGGUUGACGGUACCUUGAUAAGAAGCACCGGCUAACUACGUGCCAGCAGCCGCGGUAAUACGUAGGGUGCGAGCGUUANUCNGAAUUACUGGGCGUAAAGCGUGCGCANGCGGUUUUGUAAGUC